AGGAGACAGAAAGAGAGAGAGCGGCUAACAUGGCAGAGGGGGAAGCGCGCGACUGGGCAGAGGAACGGGGAGAGGAGGAGAGCGCGAGAGCGCGAGGACCAGGAGAGGUGCCCGGGGAUCGGAGACGGCAGCGCCUCGCUGGAAGUCGGCGUAUGCCUCAGGUCUGUCUGCGGACAUAAACCGGACGGAGAAGGAAGCUCCCCCUGCCUCCUCCUCAUCCCGCCUCUUGGCCCAUUAAGCAGACCCUUCUGUCGCCCGCCGUCCCCAAGGAGGAAUUGCCGCCCGUCUGCGGGAGGCGAAGUGUUCAAGCGAAGAGAGAGCCGGGAGGAGUCCGCACCCCGCAAGAGGCAACCUGCGAUCCCACUACCUCUUCCUUGAGCCAACUUAAUCCUUUGAAAGCAUAAAUCAAUGCCACCCUC
Non-coding RNA from Pantherophis guttatus, 419 nucleotides. Lineage: Eukaryota; Metazoa; Chordata; Lepidosauria; Squamata; Colubridae. The record is from RefSeq and is a predicted model, not a curated record.